CGAACGGUUCGGGGCGAAAUUACACAAAUGUCACAUUUUUGAAAAUGUGUUUCUUAAGGGAAAACGUACAGGCCGCAUUUUGCACAUUUUGCAAAAAAUGUGACAUUUUCAAAAAUGUGUAAGAAAUGUGAUAUUGCAUCAGAUACGAAGCAUUUCACGAGCAAUGCUGACCAGCUCGUCCUGGUGGAACGCUGAAGCAAUUCGAUAGAGGAUGAUCGACAAUGCUGUAUCUACUGACUGAUAUUUCAGGGUCAUAAAUAAACAUGUAAUUUUCAUCAUACUCCGAAAUAUCUGCAAAAUGUAAUACGCAUAUCAAUUUAAUAAGUCAACCCUUUCUGAUUACAACUUACUAUUUUAUGAAAUGAACCCAUGUAGAUGGAGCUUUUCACUCGGUCCAAUUUUAUGUUAACUUUUUGUUGUCUGAAAUAUAUAACAUUUUAAUUUGUUCACGCUACGAAAAAUCUUACUUAUAUUUCUUGGUUCCCCAAUUUGAUUCAUCUGCAUGUCUCCAUAUCUCCGCGUACCUCGCAAGACGCCAAUAUUUUCUUGCCGUAUAUCUAUUGGGAAGUUUUCGCUGUCGACACUCCAAGAUAGACGGCUUUAUGUGUUAUUUUUGACUUCUACAAAAACCUUUCUGAAAUAAAUUGAGAAACAUAUUAUAUGAUCAUCCUACUUGCGCGCGUCAGACAUUUUAAAUAAACUUGUCAAAUUUUAAUUGAGAUCGGUUAUGUAUGAAAAAAUAUUGGAUAAGAACAUGUUUAUAAGCUGAACCCAUAAUGGUGAAAAGGGUAUAAUGUAUUUGUGUAAUGUAUCGAAAUGCUGUUUUUUAAGAAAAUAUCGUAAAUUAUGUUAAGGAAUUGUUUUUUCCCUUUUGGCCGCGCCGGCUGGCUCAUCGGCUCUCUAGGGGUAGUUCCAUCCCUGGCCCGCAGUCCGCACAAUCCAUUUUUCUCUCUUCAAUAUAGCAUACAUAUAUCGGGCAAAUAACAAAACAGGAACCGGACGAAAUAACACUGCCAGAAGCGGUGGCCAAACGCCAUCAAAACAAAACGAAUAAAUGUAGGUUUAAAUAGUUUUUUUUUGCGCCAAUGGGGAACAAAGGACCCACAUAAAUAAAUAUAUACAUAUACGUGCCAAAAUGAUUAUAUAAAUGGCGGGAAAAUAUACCUGCGAAAGUGUACAAGUAUAAUUGCAGCUUGUUUAAUUGUUGUCCUAAGGAGCACUUCUUGGUUUGACAUUCAUGCCGCUCUGUACACUGCACUGCUAUACACUUGAGUACCCUUUAAAUUACAAAAUAAAUAAAUAAAUAAGUGCAAUUUAAAAUAAAUAAAAAAAAAUAUUUUUAUUCAUAUUAGAAAAAGAAAAUAAUAAACGGACCAGCAGCGAAAAAAAAAAAUAGUUUUAAUGGCGGCCAGGGUGAAUGCCAGGCAUACCUCGACAAAGAGAAGUGGGCGGCCGAUAUAAAAGAUAACUUUACAAAUAAAUUAUAAAUAUUUCGUUUAUUAAUAUUAACUUAAUUUACCAUUUCUAGAAACGCUGAAAGAGGUGCUUUCCAUUAUAAUUUAAAUGUUUUUUAAAUUGUGUAUUUUACUUUUUAGUAAAUUUGAAGCAAGAGCUGUCCCUUCUAACCGGUAGUAGUCACAUUUACCCAAUCUAAUAAUUUCAAUUUUUAAUUAAAAAAUGUCAGCUCAAAAUCAGCUUUUGCUUGGUGAAAUGGCCGAGCAAAAAGUUUUAAUCCAGCUGCUGUAGGGAAAAAAUAGCCAAAGCAAUCUGCCAGCCAAGUUCCCCCUAAAGUAGAAGGAAGAAUUGGAGAUGCUGAAUGUGGACAUUGCGAAGGGGGAUCGCGACGCAUAUAUCAAAACGAUGAGCCUACUUUGAUUGCCCUCUGGAGUGGCCAAAAUUUUAUAAAUAUUGUGACCGAUGAGGUUGCAAUGAAAUAUAACAUUGAUGGUAUUUUAGGCAAGCUUCGGCUUAAAACAGACAAACACUUUUAUCAUGCGCUAAUUUAGUCCAUUCCAAAGGGAGCUGGUGCUGGGUGUCCAGAACACCAGCUCAGAAAAGCUAUGCAGGUAUUUCGCUAGGUCAACGUCAUGCAACGUCGUACCGCUCGGUACGGGGCAAUGACAUCCCCAUGUUAAAUUCGUUAGUCUAACGAAUUGGUGUUUCCACGUUUUAAAAACAGGACCCAUCCUAAAGAGGCAGCAAAAUAGUUAACGGUGCACCGGUGGACCCAAACUACAGUGAAGGCAUAUUUUUAUUUUUUUCACUCGCCUUCGACCGCUGACCAGAUCGAAUUCCUCACGCUCGGCACACGCACACACAUUCAAAAAAUGGUCACCGUUUCUGCCCAUAUGCACAGAUGCAAAUUCUAGGUCAAUGGCCCAGAUGAAGUCGGAUUGCCCUCCUCCCAUUCUCUCUCUGAGCGAUUCGGGCGGCCAGUCGCAGUCGCUCUUCCGCAUUUCCCCGCUUAGCGCAGUGGAUCGGGCGUUGCCACCCUCACGCUAUUUGGGCGCUCCUCUGCACUCGAGCUUACCCCCCACUACCCUGAACAUUGAUGAAAAAUUGAUAUAGACGCUGCCGAUAAUAUCUAAUGCAACAACACCACGCAGAUUGUUUUAAAGACAUGCCGAUAAUGUUAAAUGCAACAGCACCACGCACAUUAUUGUAAAGACAUAGACAAAACAAUUACAAAUAAUUUGCUUGUGCAUCUCCAAUUGGCCCUCCCAGCCGGCUACUAACGAACGCCCAACGUAGGCCACACCCACGACGAAAACCCCAGUCGCAACACUGACUGGGCACUGCUGCCGCCAACGCCUGGCGAGGUGGUGAGCAAACUAAGUUUAUAGCCGUUAAUCUUUUACGUGAAAGAGGCCUAACACACUUCCCUGAAGAUCUUCGAACUCGUAUGCGUUGGUACCCAAUUCGCUCGUACGCGGUGUGCAGAUACGGGGGAGUCACCCCGUAGCGCUGUGUACCGCAUUCCGAAUCGCCACCUCUUCCUCAAGAAGGUACGCAUCCCAUUCCCUAUGGUCCUGAUCAAAAUAUGUUCUGAUCGCCAACAGAACCGUUCGGUUCACGUGGUUAGCGGCGUUACUUUGAGGUGAAUAUAUGGCUGUGCGACAAUGCGUAAUGCCAAAUGCCUGGACCAUUGCCUCAAACGACUUGGAAAUAAACUGCCGCCCAUUAUCCGUAUAGAUGACCUCAUGCACACCAAAUUUGAAAAACACUUCGUGUACUAGGAAGUUGACAACUUCUGCUGCGGUGGCUUUCCUUCAGGAAUGUGAACUUUGAAAGUGUCGUCUACGACGACGAAUAUCCACGCAUGCCCUCGUGUUGGCGGUAGAUAUUUCCGCAAGAGUUCGAUGUUGAUCUUCGGAAAGGGGCGAUCGGCGCGAACUUCUUCCCCAAUUCCGACCUGCAUCCUGCAAUUUUCUGCCUUGGUCUCGUUACAGGUGUCGCAUUUCCGCACAUUGUCUCUGACUUGUAUCGCCAUGUUGGGCCGAUAAUAUCGCCUGCGCAGCGCCUUGCAUAUGCCUUCAUGAGCUGAUAUCUCGUCCGCAUGUGCUCGUUGGAUGAGUGCUCAAUUCCACCUUUUCCACGCUUCGGGAUAACGUGUCGGCGACGACGUAAUCGGCUUCCUUCCGCUAUCGCACCGAAAAGGGGAACGCUUGCAGCUCCAGUAACCACCUGGUCUAUCUCCCGCUUAAGCCAUUGAGGCUCAUAAGUCACUGCAGGCUCGCGUGGUCGGGGAUUACCGUGAACUGCAUCAUCGCUGUAUGGCCAGUUUGGCUGCUAGGCACUCCUGGUGUUUGUUGAGCUUCACCGAAAAGAAUGCGAUAGGCUUCUCCAGCUGCUCGUCAUCCAGCUGGAAUAACACAGCUCCCACACCGAAGUGAGAUGCGUCGCACUGGAUAAAAAAAUGUCUUUUAUACUAUAAGUAUAUGUACAAAUACAAGUACAAAUAAAAACGAGAGAGACGGGCUAUCUUCGGCUCGUCGAAGACCUUAUCUUUUCAUAAUGCUCAUA
Molecule: long non-coding RNA, 4023 nt
Organism: Drosophila montana
Lineage: Eukaryota; Metazoa; Arthropoda; Insecta; Diptera; Drosophilidae
Exons: 6
Source: RefSeq, a predicted model, not a curated record